RNAcentral lists this ribosomal RNA (240 nucleotides) under uncultured bacterium. RNAcentral describes it as "partial 16S ribosomal RNA". It matches the Rfam family "Bacterial small subunit ribosomal RNA", at positions 94 to 334 of the family's 1533-position model. The record is from RNAcentral.
AGCGGCGGACGGGUGAGUAACGCGUGGGUAACCUGCCUCAUACAGGGGGAUAACAGUUGGAAACGGCUGCUAAUACCGCAUAAGCGCACAGUACCGCAUGGUACCGUGUGAAAAACUCCGGUGGUAUGAGAUGGGCCCGCGUCUGAUUAGCUAGUUGGUGGGGUAACGGCCUACCAAGGCGACGAUCAGUAGCCGACCUGAGAGGGUGACCGGCCACAUUGGGACUGAGACACGGCCCAA